CCACAAUCCAAUCUAUUUACCCAAUUACCCAACCCAAAUCUGAGAUUCAAUCCCAGGGCUUGCUCAGUGUUAUUAAUCGUCGCCUCGACGGCCUCGUCUAUGCAAGACUGCAACUCCAGUCACUCACACUCACACCUCACACUCACACUCACACUCACACUGCCAGUUCGCCUCCAUUGAGUCCGCCCGUACGCCGCCGGUCGCCUCCAGGAUCCGCCGCUCCAGCAACUUGUCUAGUAUUAGUAACUAUAGUUGUCUCCAUUCUUCGGUUCAUUUCUAAAAAUUUUCCAUUGAUUUGAUGAAUUUUAUCAACUGAUAUAUAUAUAUAUAUAUUGUUAGAUCUGUAGAAUUUAAUAGAUUUUAGAUUUUUAGUGGUGACCUCAUCUGGUUCCUAUGGAACACGAAAACUGGGAAGGAAAAUGAAGAGUCAAAUGCUCAAAUAUAAAAGUGCACUGUCUUCUCUUCUGGGAAACUAGCGAAUUAGGCAGGCUUGUAUAUAAUUCAUCAGAUUGUCUAUAUUUUGGCAUGAUUACCAUUUACCAGCUGGACACCAUGAUCUGUUACUUCAUUUCAAACCAUAUUUUAUCCAUUGUUUUGUUCAUAAAUUUGUAUUUACCUGAGGCACGUUAAGACACAUUUAUGAAAUUCUUUUGUAAAUGUAUGAUCGUCAAAUCAUAUGCGGAUCUAUUACAGUAUUAAUUGAAGGAAUUGAAUCAAUUGAUUUGGAUAACUUCUUAUAAUGUGAAAAUGGCCUAAAUUUAAUUUUAUGUAAAUUUGAUAAUGUGUAAGUUAAAGUAUCAUAAUGAUUAUUUAGAAAUAAAGAGCGCAAUAAAUUUUGUGUCAUAUCACAAAUAUAAUGUGACCUUAAGUAGUGUAUAAAUAUUUUCUAUAAUAUAUUUGGUUGUUGUUUUAAUGUUAGGUUUUAUCUAACAAUAAGUCGCAUAAUAUACUGUUGAAUUUUACAUUUACGUUGAUUUCGCUGGGGGCCCAAUUUAUGGAAUUCGCCUAAGGUCCUAACAAUCGCAAGGCUAGCCUUGCUAAAACCCCGAAUUUCUUUUUCGAAACUAACUUCAAAAGCCAUUUGUUUUUCUUCAUCUUACCUAAAGUAGGCUUUUCAGAACCCAAUUAGCAAAAAUCCCAGAUUUUCUGGCGCAGGAAGAUUCUGCACAAUUCGACUUGUUGAAACAGAAGAUUUUGUCAUGGGUUUAUUUUAUAGGUGUUGCAGGAGUUGUAGCUUAUGUUCUUAAUGUGGCAUGGAUUGAUGGCUCCACUGGAUUUGGUAAACCCUUCAUUGAUGCUGUUUGGAGCAUUUCCGAGAGCCCUAAGGUUGAAUUUAGACACUGUUUGGUUCAGAUUGGUUCA
RNAcentral lists this long non-coding RNA (1362 nucleotides) under Olea europaea subsp. europaea. The record is from RNAcentral. Lineage: Eukaryota; Viridiplantae; Streptophyta; Magnoliopsida; Lamiales; Oleaceae.